Molecule: ribosomal RNA, 253 nt
Filed under: uncultured bacterium
Lineage: Bacteria
Description: partial small subunit ribosomal RNA
Rfam family: Bacterial small subunit ribosomal RNA
Source: RNAcentral
AGGACGAACGCUGGCGGCGUGCUUAACACAUGCAAGUCGAGCGGAAAGGCCCUUCGGGGUACUCGAGCGGCGAACGGGUGAGUAACACGUGAGUAACCUGCCCUAGGCUUUGGGAUAACCCUCGGAAACGGGGCUAAUACCGAAUAUUCAUGUUGCGUGGCAUCACGUGGUGUGGAAAGUUUUUCGGCCUGGGAUGGGCUCGCGGCCUAUCAGCUUGUUGGUGGGUGAUGGCCUACCAAGGCGACGACGGGUA